UACGUAGGGUGCAAGCGUUGUCCGGAAUUAUUGGGCGUAAAGAGCUCGUAGGCGGUGUGUCGCGUCGGCCGUGAAAACUUGCAGCUUAACUGUGGGCGUGCGGUCGAUACGGGCAUCACUGGAGUUCGGCAGGGGAGACUGGAAUUCCUGGUGUAGCGGUGAAAUGCGCAGAUAUCAGGAGGAACACCGGUGGCGAAGGCGGGUCUCUGGGCCGAUACUGACGCUGAGGAGCGAAAGCGUGGGGAGCGAACAGG
This 254-nucleotide ribosomal RNA is filed under the name uncultured bacterium. RNAcentral describes it as "partial 16S ribosomal RNA". It matches the Rfam family "Bacterial small subunit ribosomal RNA", at positions 524 to 776 of the family's 1533-position model. The record is from RNAcentral.